RNAcentral lists this transfer RNA (81 nucleotides) under Hypholoma sublateritium FD-334 SS-4. It matches the Rfam family "tRNA". Rfam says of the family: Transfer RNA (tRNA) molecules are approximately 80 nucleotides in length. Their secondary structure includes four short double-helical elements and three loops (D, anti-codon, and T loops). Further hydrogen bonds mediate the characteristic L-shaped molecular structure. tRNAs have two regions of fundamental functional importance: the anti-codon, which is responsible for specific mRNA codon recognition, and the 3' end, to which the tRNAs corresponding amino acid is attached (by aminoacyl-tRNA synthetases). tRNAs cope with the degeneracy of the genetic code in two manners: having more than one tRNA (with a specific anti-codon) for a particular amino acid; and 'wobble' base-pairing, i.e. permitting non-standard base-pairing at the 3rd anti-codon position. The record is from Rfam by way of RNAcentral. Lineage: Eukaryota; Fungi; Basidiomycota; Agaricomycetes; Agaricales; Strophariaceae.
GGGCUCUUGGCACAGGGGUAGCGCGCACGCUUCGCAUGGUCGAUAUGCGUGAGGUCGUGGGUUCAAUUCCCACAGUGUCCA